GUUAAAUUUUUGUUAUUGUAGUUGUUGCACAUUGGUUAUCUAUAUUAUAACCUUAGGAUGCUAAUUUCUUCCCUUCCCCGGAAUGGGCUAUGUCAUCACUCAAGGCUUUGUCCUUCACAUGCUCCCUCUCUUUGCAACUGAUGUCACAAAGUUCUGCUGACAUACUCUGUGACACAGCUGUUUGGAACUUACCUUAUGGCCCCAUUCUGAGCUGCUAGCUCCCAUCUCCCCACCCAGGAAGCAGCUCCUAUGGCCGAUCCCCAAGUGCAGGGGUCUCUGGGCUUCUGUCUUCCCUGAUAAGCCCACACAUGGGAGACAGAGAGCUCAGGGUGGGACUUGGGCUUCUUUCAGAAUGAGUCUGUGCCAUAGAGCUGCACCUCAGCCUUAAGGACAUGCUCAAAAUGCCCAUCUCUAUACGUUGAAUCAAGGACCUCUGGGGCAGACUGACUGACUGAAGUGAGGGUCAUGCUUUUCUUGUCCUUCUUCUUGUAAGUUUUUUGAACAUGCCAGUGAAAAAGCAGUUCAGCCAUUUGGUGAAAGAAAUUUCCAUUUACCAACAUAGGAAGAGUUCAUAUUCACAGACUCCAAACAUAGAUAGAG
RNAcentral lists this long non-coding RNA (600 nucleotides) under Pan troglodytes (chimpanzee). Its description in RNAcentral is "long non-coding RNA NONPTRT015647". Lineage: Eukaryota; Metazoa; Chordata; Mammalia; Primates; Hominidae. The record is from RNAcentral.